GUCGAGGGGCAGCAUUUCAGUUUGCUUGCAAACUGGAGAUGGCGACCGGCGCACGGGUGAGUAACACGUAUCCAACCUGCCGAUAACUCGGGGAUAGCCUUUCGAAAGAAAGAUUAAUACCCGAUGGUAUAAUCAGACCGCAUGGUCUUAUUAUUAAAGAAUUUCGGUUAUCGAUGGGGAUGCGUUCCAUUAGGCAGUUGGUGAGGUAACGGCUCACCAAACCUUCGAUGGAUAGGGGUUCUGAGAGGAAGGUCCCCCACAUUGGAACUGAGACACGGUCCAAACUCCUACGGGAGGCAGCAGUGAGGAAUAUUGGUCAAUGGGCGCAGGCCUGAACCAGCCAAGUAGCGUGAAGGAUGACUGCCCUAUGGGUUGUAAACUCCUUUUAUAUGGGAAUAAAGUUUUCCACGUGUGGAAUUUUGUAUGUACCAUAUGAAUAAGGAUCGGCUAACUCCGUGCCAGCAGCCGCGGUAAUACGGAGGAUCCGAGCGUUAUCCGGAUUUAUUGGGUUUAAAGGGAGCGUAGGUGGACAGUUAAGUCAGUUGUGAAAGUUUGCGGCUCAACCGUAAAAUUGCAGUUGAUACUGGCUGUCUUGAGUACAGUAGAGGUGGGCGGAAUUCGUGGUGUAGCGGUGAAAUGCUUAGAUAUCACGAAGAACUCCGAUUGCGAAGGCAGCUCACUGGACUGCAACUGACACUGAUGCUCGAAAGUGUGGGUAUCAAACAGGAUUAGAUACCCUGGUAGUCCACACAGUAAACGAUGAAUACUCGCUGUUUGCGAUAUACAGUAAGCGGCCAAGCGAAAGCAUUAAGUAUUCCACCUGGGGAGUACGCCGGCAACGGUGAAACUCAAAGGAAUUGACGGGGGCCCGCACAAGCGGAGGAACAUGUGGUUUAAUUCGAUGAUACGCGAGGAACCUUACCCGGGCUUAAAUUGCAUUUGAAUAANUUGGAAACAGNNUAGCCGCAAGGCAAAUGUGAAGGUGCUGCAUGGUUGUCGUCAGCUCGUGCCGUGAGGUGUCGGCUUAAGUGCCAUAACGAGCGCAACCCUUAUCUUUAGUUACUAACAGGUCAUGCUGAGGACUCUAGAGAGACUGCCGUCGUAAGAUGUGAGGAAGGUGGGGAUGACGUCAAAUCAGCACGGCCCUUACGUCCGGGGCUACACACGUGUUACAAUGGGGGGUACAGAAGGCAGCUACCUGGUGACAGGAUGCUAAUCCCAAAAGCCUCUCUCAGUUCGGAUCGAAGUCUGCAACCCGACUUCGUGAAGCUGGAUUCGCUAGUAAUCGCGCAUCAGCCAUGGCGCGGUGAAUACGUUCCCGGGCCUUGUACACACCGCCCGUCAAGCCAUGAAAGCCGGGGGUACCUGAAGUACGUAACCGCAAGGAGC
This 1389-nucleotide ribosomal RNA is filed under the name bacterium NLAE-zl-P923. RNAcentral describes it as "bacterial SSU rRNA". It matches the Rfam family "Bacterial small subunit ribosomal RNA". The record is from RNAcentral.